UUCCGGUUGAUCCUGCCGGAGGCUACCGCUAUUGGAGUUCGAUUAAGCCAUGCGAGUCGAGAGUCUUAGGGACUCGGCGCACCGCUCAGUAACACGUGGGUAACCUGCCCUAUGCUGGGGGAUAACCUCGGGAAACUGAGAAUAAUACCCCAUAGUUCACCACGCCUGGAACGGUGGGUGGAUGAAAGCUCCGGCGGCAUAGGAUGGGCCUGCGGCGUAUCAGGUUGUAGGGGGUGUAAUGUACCCUCUAGCCAUCUACGCGUACGGGUGUUGGGAGACAUCGCCCGGAGAUGGAUUCUGAGACACGAAUCCAGACCCUACGGGGUGCAGCAGGCGCGAAAACUUGGCAAUGCGAGCAAUCGUGACCAGGGAACUCCAAGUGCAUCGGGUAAGACCGAUGCUUUUCUUGACUCUUCAAAGGUCUUGGAAUAAGGGGUGGGUAAGGACGGUGCCAGCCGCCGCGGUAAUACCGGCGCCUCAAGUGGUAGUCGCUUUUAUUGGGCCUAAAACGUCCGUAGCCGGUUUGGUACAUUCGUGGGUAAAUCAAGGCGCUCAACGUCUUGAAUUCUGCGAGCACGGCCAGACUUGGGACCGGGUGAGGUGUGGGGUACUCUCAGGGUAGGGGUAAAAUCCUGUCAUCCUGAGAGGACCACCUGUUGCGAAGGCGCCACACUAGAACGGAUCCGACGGUCAGGGACGAAGCCUAGGGGCACGAACCGGAUUAGAUACCCGGGUAGUCCUAGGUGUAAACGCUGUGGACUUGAUGUUGGGAGUGCUCCGAGCACCCUCAGUGUCGAAGCGAAGGUGAUAAGUCCACUGCCUGGGGAGUACGGUCGCAAGGCUGAAACUUAAAGGAAUUGGCGGGGGAGCACCGCAACCUGAGGAUUGUGCGGUUUAAUUGGAGUCAACGCCGG
This 914-nucleotide ribosomal RNA is filed under the name uncultured marine archaeon. Its description in RNAcentral is "bacterial SSU rRNA". It matches the Rfam family "Archaeal small subunit ribosomal RNA", at positions 1 to 921 of the family's 1478-position model. The record is from RNAcentral.